This 440-nucleotide ribosomal RNA is filed under the name uncultured bacterium. Its description in RNAcentral is "partial 16S ribosomal RNA". It matches the Rfam family "Bacterial small subunit ribosomal RNA", at positions 338 to 795 of the family's 1533-position model. The record is from RNAcentral.
CCUACGGGAGGCAGCAGUGGGGAAUAUUGCACAAUGGGGGAAACCCUGAUGCAGCGACGCCGCGUGAGUGAAGAAGUAAUUCGUUAUGUAAAGCUCUAUCAGCAGGGAAGAAAAUGACGGUACCUGAGUAAGAAGCCCCGGCUAACUACGUGCCAGCAGCCGCGGUAAUACGUAGGGGGAAAGCGUUAUCCGGAUUUACGGGGUGGAAAGGGAGCGUAGCCGGCAGUGCAAGUCAUGAGUGAAAGGCGGGGGCUCAACCCCCGGACUGCUCUUGAAACUGUACGGCUGGAGUGCAGGAGAGGUAAGUGGAAUUCCUAGUGUAGCGGUGAAAUGCGUAGAUAUUAGGAGGAACACCAGUGGCGAAGGCGGCUUACUGGACUGUAACUGACGUUGAGGCUCGAAAGCGUGGGGAGCAAACAGGAUUAGAUACCCCUGUAGUC